AUUGAACGCUGGCGGCGUGCUUAACACAUGCAAGUCGAUCGGUAACGCGGGGGCAACCCUGGCGACGAGAGGCGGACGGGUGAGGAACGCUUGGGAAUCUGCCCUUCAGCGGGGGACAACCCGGGGAAACUCGGGCUAAUACCGCAUACGCUCCAAGGAGGAAAGCCGGGGACCGCAAGGCCUGGCACUGAAGGAUGAGCCCAAGCCGGAUUAGCUAGUUGGCGGGGUAACGGCCCACCAAGGCGACGAUCCGUAGCUGGUCUGAGAGGACGAUCAGCCACACCGGAACUGAGACACGGUCCGGACUCCUACGGGAGGCAGCAGUGGGGAAUAUUGGACAAUGGGGGAAACCCUGAUCCAGCGACGCCGCGUGGGUGAAGAAGGCCUGCGGGUUGUAAAGCCCUUUCGGUAGGGACGAAAACUCUUGCUCUAACAAAGCAGGAGCUUGACUUAACCUACAUAAGAAGCCCCGGCCAACUACGUGCCAGCAGCCGCGGUAA
Molecule: ribosomal RNA, 500 nt
Filed under: uncultured bacterium
Lineage: Bacteria
Description: bacterial SSU rRNA
Rfam family: Bacterial small subunit ribosomal RNA
Source: RNAcentral